AGUAGGGUUUCAGAGGAAGUGCUAAUAAAUGUAAAGAGAGAAGAUUGUUUAUGAUUCAUUGUAAUUAGAGGGCACCUGAAUAUUUGAGUCUCAAAAAAACCCGGAAUUAUAUAUGUUUCUUUAAAGAAAAAUAAGAAGUAUUGUUACAUCAAUCCCAUCAAAAUCAUGUAAUGUCUCUAACGUUUUGAAGUGUACAACCAUGAACGUCUUACUCUUAAUUCACCAACAACAAGGUGGAAUUGAAGAAAUUAAUUAUAUCUGAUAUCAUCGUACAAAAGAAUUGGUUUGUAAUUGUUUUAUUUUAUUCUAAUCAAAUUGGAUAAACUCCAAAGUAUUUUAAAACAUGGACACAUUCGCUAUGUACUUACUCUAUCCAUUUUUAAUAAAGCCAAUAAGUGUUUAUUUAUUCACUUAUUAAUACCAACGAGUAAAGAUAAUUUUAAAAUACUUAUAUAAGAAGUAAUGUAAAUGUGAUUUUAAAAUUUUAAAAAAUCAAGUAGAUAGUUCACAUCAUGCAAUCUCAGAUGUUGAAAACAACACAUUUUCUUAGUUACAAAUGUGGUUUGAACAAUUGUACACCUAUAACAUCAAGAAACAAUAAGUAUGCCUAAUUACAAUAUUAUUGUUUUUUCAGAAGGAAGAAUAUAUGGGUAAGCAUAAAAAUUUGAUCUAUUUGUACUCACAAACUCUACAGCUUCCACUACAGCCAGAA
This 712-nucleotide long non-coding RNA is filed under the name Physcomitrium patens. RNAcentral describes it as "long non-coding RNA (PPAT_LNC006938)". The record is from RNAcentral. Lineage: Eukaryota; Viridiplantae; Streptophyta; Bryopsida; Funariales; Funariaceae.